UGGGGAAUAUUGCGCAAUGGGCGAAAGCCUGACGCAGCCACGCCGCGUGAGUGAUGAAGGCCUUCGGGUCGUAAAACUCUGUCGGGAGGGACGAAGGGGCAACCCUGACGGUACCUCGCAAGAAAGCACCGGCUAACUCUGUGCCAGCAGCCGCGGUAAUACAGAGGGUGCAAGCGUUGCUCGGAUUUAUUGGGCGUAAAGCGCACGCAGACGGUUUGGAAGGUCGGAUGUGAAAGCCCUGGGCUCAACCCAGGAACUGCAUUCGAAACCACCAUCCUCGAGUUCGGGAGAGGGAGGCGGAAUUCCUGGUGUAGAGGUGAAAUUCGUAGAUAUCAGGAGGAACACCAGCGGCGAAGGCGGCUUCCUGGCCCGAUACUGACGUUCAGGUGCGAAAGCGUGGGUAGCAAACAGG
Molecule: ribosomal RNA, 412 nt
Filed under: uncultured bacterium
Lineage: Bacteria
Description: bacterial SSU rRNA
Rfam family: Bacterial small subunit ribosomal RNA
Source: RNAcentral